GACGAACGCUGGCGGCGUGCUUAACACAUGCAAGUCGAGCGACGCUCUUCCUUCGGGGAGAUGACGGAGCGGCGAACGGGUGAGUAACACGUGGGCAACCUGCCCCUAGCUCUGGGACAACACCGGGAAACCGGUGCUAAUACCGGAUACGACAUCGAGCGGCAUCUCUCGAUGUGGAAAGUUUUUUCGGCUAGGGAUGGGCCCGCGGCCUAUCAGCUUGUUGGUGGGGUAAUGGCCCACCAAGGCGACGACGGGUAGCCGGCCUGAGAGGGCGACCGGCCACACGGGGACUGAGACACGGCCCAGACUCCUACGGGAGGCAGCAGUGGGGAAUAUUGCGCAAUGGGCGAAAGCCUGACGCAGCGACGCCGCGUGAGGGAUGACGGCCUUCGGGUUGGAAACCUCUUUCAGCAGGGACGAAUUCAGACGGUACCUGCAGAAGAAGCACCGGCCAACUACGUG
This 462-nucleotide ribosomal RNA is filed under the name uncultured bacterium. Its description in RNAcentral is "partial 16S ribosomal RNA". It matches the Rfam family "Bacterial small subunit ribosomal RNA", at positions 28 to 507 of the family's 1533-position model. The record is from RNAcentral.